Molecule: transfer RNA, 87 nt
Filed under: Schizocladia ischiensis
Lineage: Eukaryota; Schizocladiophyceae; Schizocladiales; Schizocladiaceae
Description: tRNA-Ser
Rfam family: tRNA
About the family: Transfer RNA (tRNA) molecules are approximately 80 nucleotides in length. Their secondary structure includes four short double-helical elements and three loops (D, anti-codon, and T loops). Further hydrogen bonds mediate the characteristic L-shaped molecular structure. tRNAs have two regions of fundamental functional importance: the anti-codon, which is responsible for specific mRNA codon recognition, and the 3' end, to which the tRNAs corresponding amino acid is attached (by aminoacyl-tRNA synthetases). tRNAs cope with the degeneracy of the genetic code in two manners: having more than one tRNA (with a specific anti-codon) for a particular amino acid; and 'wobble' base-pairing, i.e. permitting non-standard base-pairing at the 3rd anti-codon position.
Source: RNAcentral
GGAGAAAUGGCUGAGUGGUUUAAAGCGGUAGAUUGCUAAUCUGCUGUACAAUUUUUUGUACCGAGGGUUCAAAUCCCUCUUUCUCCU